Molecule: ribosomal RNA, 274 nt
Filed under: uncultured bacterium
Lineage: Bacteria
Description: partial 16S ribosomal RNA
Rfam family: Bacterial small subunit ribosomal RNA
Source: RNAcentral
UACGGAGGGGGGUUAGCGUUGUUCGGAAUUACUGGGCGUAAAGCGCACGUAGGCGGAUCAGAAAGUUGGGGGUGAAAUCCCGGGGCUCAACCCCGGGAACUGCCUCCAAAAACUCUGGUCUUGAGUUCGAGAGAGGUGAGUGGAAUUCCGAGUGUAGAGGUGAAAUUCGUAGAUAUUCGGAGGAACACCAGUGGCGAAGGCGGCUACACUGCUCGAUACUGACGCUGAGGUGCGAAAGUGUGGGGAGCAAACAGGAUUAGAUACCCCUGUAAUC